RNAcentral lists this ribosomal RNA (511 nucleotides) under uncultured bacterium. RNAcentral describes it as "SSU rRNA". It matches the Rfam family "Bacterial small subunit ribosomal RNA", at positions 26 to 523 of the family's 1533-position model. The record is from RNAcentral.
AGGACGAACGCUGGCGGCGUGCCUAACACAUGCAAGUGGAGCGACGAACCGGACUUCGGUCCGGGGCCAAGCCGCGAACGGGUGAGUAACACGUGGGUAACCUGCCCUGAUGAUUGGGACAACCCGAGGAAACUCGGGCUAAUACCAAAUGUGCCCUUCGGUCUCAAGACCGCUGGGGAAAGGAAGCUUCGGCCUCCGCAUCAAGAUGGGCCCGCGGCCCAUUAGCUUGUUGGUGAGGUAACGGCUCACCAAGGCUUCGAUGGGUAGCUGGUCUGAGAGGACGAUCAGCCACACUGGGACUGAGACACGGCCCAGACUCCUACGGGAGGCAGCAGUGGGGAAUCUUGCGCAAUGCGCGAAAGCGUGACGCAGCAACGCCGCGUGGGGGAAGAAGGCUUUCGGGUUGUAAACCCCUUUCAGUUGGGACGAAGCUUCUUCGGUGAAUAGCCGAACGGAGUGACGGUACCUUCACAAGAAGCACCGGCUAACUACGUGCCAGCAGCCGCGGUAA